AUGAAUAACUCACAAAAUCAAAGGGAAGAGACUUACGUAGUGGUGGUGGCUGAUUGUUGCCGCGACGAUAGAUGUAGAUCGGAAACUGAGAUAUCAUGCGCAUCGGCAACUGGUAGGCCUGCUGCGGCGGCAAGUGGUUGUUGGGGCGUCAGGAUCUGCGAAGUUGACGGUGGGAUGUGUGAUGCACGCAGUGAUUCUGCAGAUCCGGUUGAUGUCGGCGGAACGAGCUAUGUUGUUGUUGAUGCAGGUGGAGGUUUCAAGAAGAGCCAGGGGAGUCGCCGGUGA
This is a non-coding RNA of Vicia faba (fava bean), 285 nucleotides long. The record is from the annotation of a GenBank genome assembly. NCBI's taxonomy places the organism in Eukaryota, Viridiplantae, Streptophyta, Magnoliopsida, Fabales, Fabaceae.